GAUGAACGCUGGCGGCGUGCCUAAUACAUGCAAGUCGAGCGAACAGACGAGGAGCUUGCUCCUCUGACGUUAGCGGCGGACGGGUGAGUAACACGUGGAUAACCUACCUAUAAGACUGGGAUAACUUCGGGAAACCGGAGCUAAUACCGGAUAAUAUAUUGAACCGCAUGGUUCAAUAGUGAAAGACGGUUUUGCCGUCACUUAUAGAUGGAUCCGCGCCGCAUUAGCUAGUUGGUAAGGUAACGGCUUACCAAGGCAACGAUGCGUAGCCGACCUGAGAGGGUGAUCGGCCACACUGGAACUGAGACACGGUCCAGACUCCUACGGGAGGCAGCAGUAGGGAAUCUUCCGCAAUGGGCGAAAGCCUGACGGAGUAACGCCGCGUGAGUGAUGAAGGUCUUCGGAUCGUAAAACUCUGUUAUUAGGGAAGAACAAAUGUGUAAGUAACUAUGCACGUCUUGACGGUACCUAAUCAGAAAGCCACGGCUAACUACGUG
RNAcentral lists this ribosomal RNA (497 nucleotides) under uncultured bacterium. RNAcentral describes it as "partial 16S ribosomal RNA". It matches the Rfam family "Bacterial small subunit ribosomal RNA", at positions 28 to 507 of the family's 1533-position model. The record is from RNAcentral.